UGGCCUCAGUAUAAUAUCUGUGGCUGUGUAGGAAGAUGAAUGGAGGCAUAACAUUGCCAUCAGUAGUGAUCACUCCAAACACCACGAUGUUGACUGGUUGUUUGAUUUUUAUCACUCUCAUUACAUGUUUAGGAGACAUGGCAAGCCAACAGUGGUUCUGUGUGUUCACCAUCUUCAUGUUGGAGCUUCCAGUGCAAAUACCAAGCUGUACAGCAUGUUGUUUCCAAAUUUCUGGCA
Molecule: long non-coding RNA, 237 nt
Organism: Octopus sinensis (East Asian common octopus)
Lineage: Eukaryota; Metazoa; Mollusca; Cephalopoda; Octopoda; Octopodidae
Exons: 3
Source: RefSeq, a predicted model, not a curated record